Molecule: ribosomal RNA, 665 nt
Filed under: Salmonella enterica subsp. enterica serovar Tennessee
Lineage: Bacteria; Pseudomonadati; Pseudomonadota; Gammaproteobacteria; Enterobacterales; Enterobacteriaceae
Description: partial 23S ribosomal RNA
Rfam family: Bacterial large subunit ribosomal RNA
Source: RNAcentral
AGACCCGAAACCCGGUGAUCUAGCCAUGGGCAGGUUGAAGGUUGGGUAACACUAACUGGAGGACCGAACCGACUAAUGUUGAAAAAUUAGCGGAUGACCUGUGGCUGGGGGUGAAAGGCCAAUCAAACCGGGAGAUAGCUGGUUCUCCCCGAAAGCUAUUUAGGUAGCGCCUCGUGAAUUCAUCUCCGGGGGUAGAGCACUGUUUCGGCUAGGGGGCCAUCCCGGCUUACCAACCCGAUGCAAACUGCGAAUACCGGAGAAUGUUAUCACGGGAGACACACGGCGGGUGCUAACGUCCGUCGUGAAGAGGGAAACAACCCAGACCGCCAGCUAAGGUCCCAAAGUCAUGGUUAAGUGGGAAACGAUGUGGGAAGGCCCAGACAGCCAGGAUGUUGGCUUAGAAGCAGCCAUCAUUUAAAGAAAGCGUAAUAGCUCACUGGUCGAGUCGGCCUGCGCGGAAGAUGUAACGGGGCUAAACCAUGCACCGAAGCUGCGGCAGCGAACGUAUCACCCAAGACAACUUUACGGAGUUGACGAUUGACGGAGCGAAGCGACGUCAAAGCGUUCAUUAAAGUCGAGUUGGCUUAGGGAUACGUUCGUUGGGUAGGGGAGCGUUCUGUAAGCCUGCGAAGGUGGCCUGUGAGGGUUGCUGGAGGUAUCAGAAG